Molecule: ribosomal RNA, 253 nt
Filed under: uncultured bacterium
Lineage: Bacteria
Description: partial 16S ribosomal RNA
Rfam family: Bacterial small subunit ribosomal RNA
Source: RNAcentral
UACGUAGGGGGCAAGCGUUGUCCGGAUUUAUUGGGCGUAAAGAGCGUGUAGGCGGCCAAACAGGUCAGCUGUGAAAACUCGAGGCUCAACCUCGAGACGUCGGUUGAAACCGUUUGGCUAGAGUCCGGAAGAGGAGAGUGGAAUUCCUGGUGUAGCGGUGAAAUGCGCAGAUAUCAGGAAGAACACCAAUGGCGAAAGCAGCUCUCUGGGACGGUACUGACGCUGAGACGCGAAAGCGUGGGGAGCGAACAGG